Molecule: ribosomal RNA, 253 nt
Filed under: uncultured bacterium
Lineage: Bacteria
Description: partial 16S ribosomal RNA
Rfam family: Bacterial small subunit ribosomal RNA
Source: RNAcentral
GACAGAGGGUGCAAACGUUGCUCGGAAUUACUGGGCGUAAAGCGCGUGUAGGCGGGCUGAUAAGUCGGACGUGAAAUCCCUGGGCUCAACCCAGGAACUGCAUCCGAAACUGUCAGUCUGGAGUGGUGGAGAGGGAAGCAGAAUUCCUGGUGUAGAGGUGAAAUUCGUAGAUAUCAGGAGGAACACCGGUGGCGAAGGCGGCUUCCUGGACACUAACUGACGCUGAGACGCGAAAGCGUGGGGAGCGAACAGG